UUUUUUGUCUUUUUUAAAAUUUAAUACAAUAUGGUUAAGUUUAUUUACAAAUUUGAUUUAAGAAAAGAUGUUUAAAAUUCAAUGGCAUAAGGCCAAAGUUUCUAAUCAUUAAAGCAUGUCUAAGUUUGAAAUCACAAGCAAAGAAUUUUUUUGAAAGGAGGGAGAGAUUUUGAAAUUAAAGAAAAUGGGAGGAGAUGAA
RNAcentral lists this long non-coding RNA (199 nucleotides) under Lathyrus oleraceus (garden pea). RNAcentral describes it as "Pisum sativum (pea) long non-coding RNA (PSAT_LNC012839)". The record is from RNAcentral. Lineage: Eukaryota; Viridiplantae; Streptophyta; Magnoliopsida; Fabales; Fabaceae.